This 406-nucleotide ribosomal RNA is filed under the name uncultured bacterium. RNAcentral's name for it is "bacterial SSU rRNA". It matches the Rfam family "Bacterial small subunit ribosomal RNA", at positions 355 to 774 of the family's 1533-position model. The record is from RNAcentral.
UGGGGAAUAUUGGGCAAUGGGCGAAAGCCUUACCCAGCAAUACCGCGUGAGGGAAGGAGGUCUUCGGAUUGUAAACCUCUUUGAUCAGGGACGAAGAAAGUGACGGUACCUGAAGAACAAGCCCCGGCUAACUACGUGCCAGCAGCCGCGGUAAUACGUAGGGGGCGAGCGUUGUCCGGAAUGACUGGGCGUAAAGGGUGCGUAGGCGGCUAAGCAAGUUAGAAGUGAAAUACCUAGGGCUUAACUCAGGUGCUGCUUUUAAAACUGUUUGGCUGGAGUGCAGGAGAGGUUAAUGGAAUUCCUAGUGUAGCGGUGGAAUGCGUAGAUAUUAGGAGGAACACCAGAGGCGAAGGCGAUUAACUGGACUGUAACUGACGCUGAGGCACGAAAGUGUGGGGAGCAAACA